CCUCAAUCCAUGAGGCCACACCUGAACUAAUAAGAGGCCUUGAUCAGGCCCUGCUCUGCUUCGCCCUCUGUCUGUUCAUCUCCUGAAGUUUGCUGUGCGUCUGAUUCAUUAUCUGUGCGACGCGUCCUCGUCUCGGCCCUGAAGGGUCGGCGAGGGUCACGAGAUGAAACUUAAAACCAUCUAAGGACCAAAAGAACCAGAGACAGAAUCAAGAGGGCAGUUCGGUAACCACCGGAGACCGGCGGCAGGAAGCGGAGCACCUCUUUGAUGACGCAGUCGACAUAGCGCAGCUGGCUCAGCUUGUCCAGGCUCAGGUACAGCACGUGAGACCGAGGCCGAGGGAAACUGUGA
Molecule: long non-coding RNA, 351 nt
Organism: Scophthalmus maximus (turbot)
Lineage: Eukaryota; Metazoa; Chordata; Actinopteri; Pleuronectiformes; Scophthalmidae
Exons: 3
Source: RefSeq, a predicted model, not a curated record